Molecule: ribosomal RNA, 460 nt
Filed under: uncultured bacterium
Lineage: Bacteria
Description: partial 16S ribosomal RNA
Rfam family: Bacterial small subunit ribosomal RNA
Source: RNAcentral
CCUACGGGGGGCAGCAGUGAGGAAUAUUGGUCAAUGGACGAGAGUCUGAACCAGCCAAGUAGCGUGAAGGAUGAAUGCCCUAUGGGUUGUAAACUUCUUUUAUAAAGGAAUAAAACGAGGCUCGUGUGCCUUUUUGCAUGUACUUUAUGAAUAAGGAUCGGCUAACUCCGUGCCAGCAGCCGCGGUAAUACGGAGGAUCCGAGCUUUAUCCGGAUUUAUUGGUUUUAAAGGGAGCGUAGUUGGGUUGUUAAGUCAGUUUUGAAAGUUUGCGGCUCAACCGUAAAAUUGCAAUUGAUACUGGCAGUCUUGAGUACAGUUGAGGUAGGCGGAAUUCGUGGUGUAGCGGUGAAAGGCUUAGAUAUCACGAAGAACCCCGAUUGCGAAGGCAGCUUACUAAACUGUGACUGACAUUGAUGCUCGAAAGUGUGGGUAUCAAACAGGAUUAGAUACCCCUGUAGUC